AGUGAACGCUGGCGGUAGGCCUAACACAUGCAAGUCGAACGGCAGCACAGUAAGAGCUUGCUCUUACGGGUGGCGAGUGGCGGACGGGUGAGGAAUACAUCGGACUCUACUUUUUCGUGGGGGAUAACGUAGGGAAACUUACGCUAAUACCGCAUACGACCUACGGGUGAAAGCAGGGGAUCUUCGGACCUUGCGCGAUUGAAUGAGCCGAUGUCGGAUUAGCUAGUUGGCGGGGUAAAGGCCCAGCAAGGCGACGAUCCGUAGCUGGUCUGGGAGGAUGAUCAGCCACACUGGAACUGAGACACGGUCCAGACUCCUACGGGAGGCAGCAGUGGGGAAUAGUGGACAGUGGGGGCAAGCCUGGUCCAGCCAUACCGCGUGGGUGAAGAAGGCCUUCGGGUUGUAAAGCCCUUUUGUUGGGAAAGAAAAGCAGCAGGUUAAUACCCCGCUGUUCUGACGGUACCCAAAGAAUAAGCACCGGCUAACUACGUG
This 492-nucleotide ribosomal RNA is filed under the name uncultured bacterium. Its description in RNAcentral is "partial 16S ribosomal RNA". It matches the Rfam family "Bacterial small subunit ribosomal RNA", at positions 29 to 507 of the family's 1533-position model. The record is from RNAcentral.